RNAcentral lists this ribosomal RNA (464 nucleotides) under uncultured bacterium. RNAcentral describes it as "partial 16S ribosomal RNA". It matches the Rfam family "Bacterial small subunit ribosomal RNA", at positions 29 to 507 of the family's 1533-position model. The record is from RNAcentral.
ACGAACGCUGGCGGCGUGCUUAACACAUGCAAGUCGAACGGAAAGGCCCUGCUUGCAGGGUACUCGAGUGGCGAACGGGUGAGUAACACGUGGGUGAUCUGCCCUGCACUUCGUGAUAAGCCUGGGAAACUGGGUCUAAUACCGGAUAGGAGCCAUUUUUAGUGUGAUGGUUGGAAAGUUUUUUCGGUGUAGGAUGAGCUCGCGGCCUAUCAGCUUGUUGGUGGGGUAAUGGCCUACCAAGGCGGCGACGGGUAGCCGGCCUGAGAGGGUGGACGGCCACAUUGGGACUGAGAUACGGCCCAGACUCCUACGGGAGGCAGCAGUGGGGAAUAUUGCACAAUGGGCGCAAGCCUGAUGCAGCGACGCCGCGUGGGGGAUGACGGCCUUCGGGUUGUAAACUCCUUUCGCUAGGGACGAAGCUUUUUGUGACGGUACCUAGAUAAGAAGCACCGGCUAACUACGUG